AGCAGUAGCCGCGGGAAUACAGAGGGUGCGAGCGUUAAUCGGAUUUACUGGGCGUAAAGCGUGCGUAGGCGGCUUCUUAAGUCGGAUGUGAAAUCCCUGAGCUUAACUUAGUAAUUGCAUUCGAUACUGGGAAGCUAGAGUAUGGGAGAGGAUGGUAGAAUUCCAGGUGUAGCGGUGAAAUGCGUAGAGAUCUGGAGGAAUACCGAUGGCGAAGGCAGCCAUCUGGCCUAAUACUGACGCUGAGGUACGAAAGCAUGGGGAGCAAACAGGAUUAGAUACCCCUGUAGUCCCUGUCUCUUAUAC
RNAcentral lists this ribosomal RNA (303 nucleotides) under uncultured bacterium. RNAcentral's name for it is "partial 16S ribosomal RNA". It matches the Rfam family "Bacterial small subunit ribosomal RNA", at positions 507 to 807 of the family's 1533-position model. The record is from RNAcentral.